Molecule: small nuclear RNA, 103 nt
Organism: Cricetulus griseus (Chinese hamster)
Lineage: Eukaryota; Metazoa; Chordata; Mammalia; Rodentia; Cricetidae
Source: Ensembl
GUGCUCCGUUCAGCAACACAUAGACUAAAAUUGGAAUGGAAUAGAGAUUAGCAUAGGGCCUGAAAAAGGAUGACCAAAAAUUUGUGAAGAGCUUCAUAUUUUA